This 598-nucleotide ribosomal RNA is filed under the name Granulifusus sp. 3 NP-2008. RNAcentral's name for it is "partial 12S ribosomal RNA". The record is from RNAcentral. Lineage: Eukaryota; Metazoa; Mollusca; Gastropoda; Neogastropoda; Fasciolariidae.
UUUGCCAGCAGCCGCGGUUACACCAAGAGAUUAAGUUAUAUCUUUAGGUAAAAAAGACAGUUAAGCUUAGAAAGUUGUUUAGUUUAAUUGAUCACUUAUAAAAAAGUAAAAUUUGCAUAUAAUUUGUUAAUUCUAUUUUAACUAGUUUGCUGAAGCUGUGAUAGUCUUGAGGGAAACUGGGAUUAGAUACCCCAUUAUUCUUGACUGUAAAUCUAAUUAAUUUUACCAGAGUACUAUGAAUGUAUAAAUAAAGAUUUAAAACUCAAAGAGCUUGGCGGUGUUUUAGACCUAUCAGGGGAACCUGUCUCAUAAUCGACAAUCCACGUUAAACCUGACCCUAUUUUGUAUUCAGUUUGUAUACCGUCGUCGUCAGGUAACUUUUAAAAAACUAGAAGUUAGCAGUAAAAAUUUUAUAAGUUAAGACGUCAGAUCAAGGUGCAGCCAAUAAGAGGGAGAGGAUGGGUUACAAUUAUUUUAAUCAUAAUUACGGAAAAUAACACGAAAACGGAAUUAGAAGGAGGACUUGAAAGUAAAAUAAAAUAUAUAAACAACUUGAAUAUGGCUCUGAAACGUGCACACAUCGCCCGCCACUCUAAAA